Molecule: ribosomal RNA, 497 nt
Filed under: uncultured bacterium
Lineage: Bacteria
Description: partial 16S ribosomal RNA
Rfam family: Bacterial small subunit ribosomal RNA
Source: RNAcentral
GAUGAACGCUGGCGGCGUGCCUAAUACAUGCAAGUCGAGCGAACAGACGAGGAGCUUGCUCCUCUGACGUUAGCGGCGGACGGGUGAGUAACACGUGGAUAACCUACCUAUAAGACUGGGAUAACUUCGGGAAACCGGAGCUAAUACCGGAUAAUAUAUUGAACCGCAUGGUUCAAUAGUGAAAGACGGUUUUGCUGUCACUUAUAGAUGGAUCCGCGCCGCAUUAGCUAGUUGGUAAGGUAACGGCUUACCAAGGCAACGAUGCAUAGCCGACCUGAGAGGGUGAUCGGCCACACUGGAGCUGAGACACGGUCCAGACUCCUACGGGAGGCAGCAGUAGGGAAUCUUCCGCAAAGGGCGAAAGCCUGACGGAGCAACGCCGCGUGAGUGAUGAAGGUCUUCGGAUCGUAAAACUCUGUUAUUAGGGAAGAACAAAUGUGUAAGUAACUAUGCACGUCUUGACGGUACCUAAUCAGAAAGCCACGGCUAACUACGUG